Paramuricea clavata is the source of this 476-nucleotide non-coding RNA. Lineage: Eukaryota; Metazoa; Cnidaria; Anthozoa; Malacalcyonacea; Plexauridae. The record is from the annotation of a GenBank genome assembly.
CAACAUUGAAAUAUAAGCGAAGGGGAGUGUUGAUUCCAAAAUUCUAAAUGCAUUUUGUGGAUGUUUAUGGUUUUAAAUUCUAUAAAUUAUAAUCGGAAAUCCUCACAAUGUUAAUUUAAAACCGAAAUUGAAAAUAACCGAAGUUAAAUUGAAAGAGUACGACACUCGAGCGGUGGAGACGGUGAAGACACAAACGUCAAAGGUUCCGACGCAAAUUGCCUUCGUACAUGAACAAUAAAAAAAUCUUUAUCGCCGAGCUGAAACACUGCUACCCAUUUCCUGGGAAAAUGAGCCUGCACGUGUACUGAACGACUUCCUGCGUCUGAUAUACAUGACGUCAUCUUCGUUCCCAGAGCCUUAAGGUCUACUGCGCGGUACGAGGUUAUAAGAGUGGGUGCCUGUCUUCGAAUUGAUCAGAAGCUGCUGAAGUAGUUGGAGAUAAAAGCAAACUAUUUUUUCAAGCAAGGCUUUUCAGG